GAUAAGAACGCAGCGAAAUGCGAUAAGUAAUGCGAAUUGCAGAAUUCAGUGAAUCAUCGAAUCUUUGAACGCACAUUGCGCCCGCCAGUAUUCUGGCGGGCAUGCCUGUCUGAGCGUCGUUUCGACCCUCGCGCCCGGCUUCUGUCGGGGGCGGUGUUGGGGAUCGGCCACACCCUUCAGUGGGAGGCCGGCCCCUAAAUUCAGUGGCGACCACGCUGUAGCCUCCCCUGCGUAGUACUAAAACCACCUCGCAGGCGGAGAGCGGUGCGGCCCGCCGUAAAACCCCCCAACUUUUACAAGGUCGACCUCAGAUCAGGUAGGAAUACCCGCUGAACUUAAGCAUAUCAAUAAGCGGAGGA
This 359-nucleotide unclassified non-coding RNA is filed under the name soil metagenome. Its description in RNAcentral is "partial contains 5.8S ribosomal RNA, internal transcribed spacer 2, and large subunit ribosomal RNA". The stretch from base 4 to 119 matches the Rfam family "5.8S ribosomal RNA", at positions 39 to 154 of the family's 154-position model. The record is from RNAcentral.